GCAAUAGUAACUGAAAUGAUUAUUUAAAAAAAAUUUCCAUCAUUCAAGAAAGUGUCCUCAUGCUCUUUUCCAAUCAAUUUCUAUCUUAGGGAUAAAAACUUUUCUAUUUUUAUCACUAUUGAGUAGCUUUGUCUAUUCUUGAGCUUCAUAUAAUGAAAUCAUAUUUUUAUUGAGUUGUUUUUCUCCAGAAUUAGUAUUUCUGAAGUGUAUUCAUACUGUUGUAUCAGUAGGUCAUUCUUUCUUAAGACUAAUAUUCCAUGGCAUAAAUACACCACAGCUUGUUGAUCCACGCUCCUGUUGAUGGAGAUCCAUAUUACUCCUGUCUUCAACUAUUAGGAAUGAAGUUGUUGUGAACAUAUUGUGGGAUUCUUUCCUGUGAGCAUAUGCAUUCUUUUUUUCUUUUUUUUUUAAAUAUAUAGACUUAAGAGUGGAAAUAAUGACUCUUAGUGUAGAUGUGUGUGCUAUGCUUGUGUGUCUCCACAGAAGCUCAUGUUGAAACUUGUCAGUGUAAUGGUAUUGGAAUUAUGACAGCUAUAACUAGGUCAGGAGGGAUCUGCCCUCAGAAAAAGAUCAAUGCCCUUAUUGUAGGAGUGAAUUAGUGGUCUUGGGAAUGGUCUUCUGAUAAAAAGGGUGAAUUCAGCCGUUUUCUCUGAUUUUGGUGCUUGCUUCCCCUUCCUUCUGCCUUGGAUAACAGCAGGAGGCCCUCAUCAGUUAUGGCCCUUUGAUCUUGGACUUCCCAGUCUCCAUAUCUAUAGGCCAAAUAAACCUCUUGUCUUGGUAAAUUGCCCAGUCCAUAGUGUUUCUCUAUAGCAGUAGGAAAGAAAUUGAAAGAAAAUAUGGUACUGAGAGUGAUGCCGUUGAUAUAAUUUCUGAAAAUGUAGAAGCAGCUUUGGUUAAUGGGAAGUGGCUAAUGGAUAGAGGUUGAAAGAACUGGGAGGAGCAGACUAGCAAAAGCCAAGAUUCCUGAAAACAGAGCAUAAAGGGCACUUCUGGUGAAGGCUCAGGGGUAAAUGAGGAACAAGGUAUCGGAAAUUGAAGCAAAUGCCAUCCUUGUUAUAAGUAGCAAAAACCUUGGCAAAGAUGUGUCCUGUUCUAGAACUUUAUGGAAUAUAGAAAUGAUGAGCCAUUUGCUAGUAUAUCUGCUGAAAGAAAUAUCUAAGCGGCAAAGCAUUCAGGCUACUGUGUGACUACUUUUAGCCACCAGGAAAUUUAACCCAGCAAGAAGGGAGCCAUGGGAAUAGAUUUUGCAAACCAGCACAGAUGGUGACCCUACCUCCCUCUGCUGUCCUGUCUCCCACAUGCCAAACUCUAUGCUGUGAGCUGUUAAAGUCCUAUAAUUAUUUCUGGGGAAUCUGUACUCUUAAAUAAUUUACAGAUAACCCAGGUCUGCUUUGGAUAUGAUCAGACAGACUAAAUCAUGGAGACUCUGCACCACUGGCCACUGACGAAAGGGGCUGGGAAUGUUGUCUGGGACAAGAAAAUAUAAUAAGAAACAUUGGAGUGAAUCUAGCAUCAGAAAGAUGUUGUGAGGACAGCCAGGAAGAGCUGGAACCUGAGGUUUAAUCACACGCUCCUCACCCUCUGCUGAUGGGCAGGUGUGUGAGCUCCAGCAUGGAGCACCACAGUACUAGGUCAGAGGACGGUGAUAGGGCAAUUGGGCAGCCUGUGAGCUGGGGCAGUGUAGGCAGAGGAGCAACUGUAUCAUCGCAGAAGCUUCUGCCUUCACCCAUCCCUCUAGCUCUGCAGGACAGGUAAAGAGCACAGCGUCUGUGGAGCACUAGACCUAAGGCAGGCUGCAUGGGGAGGACACAGGACAGUGACAUCACAGGCUAUGCCUCCCAUCAGGAAAAUCAAGGACCAGAACUCGCUCAGCUCUUCCCCAGGAGGACCAAGCGCUGCGUCAGGUGCAGUGCUGCCUGCCCCACUGUGCCAUGGGCCCCGGGCUCCUCUGCUGGGCGCUGCUUUGUCUCCUGGGAGCAGGCCCAGUGGACACUGGAGUCACCCAAAGUCCCACACACCUGAUCAAAACGAGAGGACAGCAAGUGACUCUGAGAUGCUCUCCUAUAUCUGGGCACACCAGUGUGUCCUGGUACCAACAGGCCCUGGGUCAGGGGCCCCAAUUUAUCUUUCAGUAUUAUGAGAAGGAAGAGAGAGUCAGAGGCAACUUCCCUGAUCGAUUCUCAGGUCGCCAGUUCCCUAACUAUAGCUCUGAGCUGAAUGUGAGCGCCUUGUUGCUGGGGGACUUGGCCCUGUAUCUCUGCGCCAGCAGCUUGGCACAGCCCGGCAGAGUCACUGACAUUCUGUAUGUAAACUUCCUGCCUCAGCUUUGACUUGAGAGCUGCAGGCCGCACCCAGCUUUCACUCCUUCAAGGGAAGCUUUUAGUUGUUUGGAAGGCAUGUCUUCUGUCCUACUGAGCACAGAGCUCUCCCAACCAACAGAGCCCAGGUUUCCUGUGCCCUCAGUGUGCCCGCUUCUCUACUGUAUCCUCUUGCAACUUGUCACUUCCUGGGUAACUUCAGAACAAGAGUGACUGCGGAGUCCCAGAUGUGUGCUUGAUUCUUUGUAUUUGUUAUAUAGCUUAAUGCCUUUCAACAGUCUUGCACAUCAAACAUUCUUAUUCUUCCUUUACAGAUGGGAGGCUCAGGGACAUUGAGUCAUUUUCCCCAGUGUCUCCUGGCUUGUAAGGACCAGAAGUAGGAAACAAACUAGUCCAUACAUUUUCCACCUACCCCUCUGCUCCGUCAUCACCUUCUGCAUCCUGGUCAGUAAGUCAGAGCCCUCACACUGUCCUCUAGUGACCAGCAGGGCGGCAGUAGAGUCUCAGAUAUCUUCAGGGGUCAUUACUAUGGCCUCCUCAUUAGCAACUUUGAGGAAUGUUAAAUUUCACACUUUUUAACAAUCAUUUAUAUGCAUUCCCUUUGUCUUUCCUCAGUCUGCAGCUUAUAUUUUCAUUUUUAUGGAGUUUUUUGAUGCACAAGAGUUUAACGCAACAAAAACUAGAAACAAUUUUGUUUUUGUAUAGACAAAAACCGCUUUCUCAUAUAAACAUCUAAGGAUAUUUUUCUCAAUUUAUUCUACUAAAAUUUAA
Non-coding RNA from Cercocebus atys (sooty mangabey), 3089 nucleotides. The record is from the annotation of a RefSeq genome assembly. NCBI's taxonomy places the organism in Eukaryota, Metazoa, Chordata, Mammalia, Primates, Cercopithecidae.